GGGUCAGUAGGUUGGUCGUGCCACCGGUACGUACUGGUCUCACUGAUUCCUCCUUCCUGAAGAACCGUAAUGCCAUCAAUUUGGUGUUGCGGGGAAACAGGACUGUUACUUUGAAAAAAUUAGAGUGUUUAAAGCAAGCUAACGCUUGAAUACAUUAGCAUGGAAUAAUGAAAUAGGACGAUCGAUCCUAUUUUGUUGGCUUCUAGGAUUGACGUA
Molecule: ribosomal RNA, 216 nt
Filed under: Glomeromycotina sp.
Lineage: Eukaryota; Fungi; Glomeromycota
Description: partial small subunit ribosomal RNA
Rfam family: Eukaryotic small subunit ribosomal RNA (bases 44-216)
Source: RNAcentral